This 506-nucleotide ribosomal RNA is filed under the name uncultured bacterium. RNAcentral describes it as "partial 16S ribosomal RNA". It matches the Rfam family "Bacterial small subunit ribosomal RNA", at positions 29 to 523 of the family's 1533-position model. The record is from RNAcentral.
AUUGAACGCUGGCGGCAGGCCUAACACAUGCAAGUCGGACGGUAGCACAGGGGAGCUUGCUCCUCGGGUGACGAGUGGCGGACGGGUGAGUAAUGUCUGGGGAUCUGCCCGAUAGAGGGGGAUAACCACUGGAAACGGUGGCUAAUACCGCAUAAUGUCGCAAGACCAAAGAGGGGGACCUUCGGGCCUCUCACUAUCGGAUGAACCCAGAUGGGAUUAGCUAGUAGGCGGGGUAACGGCCCACCUAGGCGACGAUCCCUAGCUGGUCUGAGAGGAUGACCAGCCACACUGGAACUGAGACACGGUCCAGACUCCUACGGGGGGCAGGAGUGGGGAAUAUUGCACAAGGGGCGCAAGCCUGAUGCAGCCAUGCCGCGUGUAUGAAGAAGGCCUUCGGGUUGUAAAGUACUUUCAGCGGGGAGGAAGGCGAUGUGGUUAAUAACCGCGUCGAUUGACGUUACCCGCAGAAGAAGCACCGGCUAACUCCGUGCCAGCAGCCGCAGUAA